This 497-nucleotide ribosomal RNA is filed under the name uncultured bacterium. RNAcentral describes it as "partial 16S ribosomal RNA". It matches the Rfam family "Bacterial small subunit ribosomal RNA", at positions 28 to 507 of the family's 1533-position model. The record is from RNAcentral.
GAUGAACGCUGGCGGCGUGCCUAAUACAUGCCAGUCGAGCGAACGGACGAGAAGCUUGCUUCUCUGAUGUUAGCGGCGGACGGGUGAGUAACACGUGGAUAACCUACCUAUAAGACUGGGAUAACUUCGGGAAACCGGAGCUAAUACCGGAUGAUAUUUUGAACCGCAUGGUUCAAAAGUGAAAGACGGUCUUGCUGUCACUUAUAGAUGGAUCCGCGCUGCAUUAGCUAGUUGGUAAGGUAACGGCUUACCAAGGCAACGAUGCAUAGCCGACCUGAGAGGGUGAUCGGCCACACUGGAACUGAGACACGGUCCAGACUCCUACGGGAGGCAGCAGUAGGGAAUCUUCCGCAAUGGGCGAAAGCCUGACGGAGCAACGCCGCGUGAGUGAUGAAGGUCUUCGAAUCGUAAAACUCUGUUAUUAGGGAAGAACAUAUGUGUAAGUAACUGUGCACAUCUUGACGGUACCUAAUCAGAAAGCCACGGCUAACUACGUG